RNAcentral lists this ribosomal RNA (404 nucleotides) under Verrucomicrobiota bacterium. RNAcentral's name for it is "Verrucomicrobia bacterium partial 16S ribosomal RNA". It matches the Rfam family "Bacterial small subunit ribosomal RNA", at positions 355 to 776 of the family's 1533-position model. The record is from RNAcentral. Lineage: Bacteria; Pseudomonadati; Verrucomicrobiota.
UGGGGAAUAUUGCACAAUGGGCGCAAGCCUGAUGCAGCAACGCCGCGUGAACGAUGAAGGUCUUCGGAUCGUAAAGUUCUGUUGCAGGGGAAGAUAAUGACGGUACCCUGUGAGGAAGCCCCGGCUAACUACGUGCCAGCAGCCGCGGUAAUACGUAGGGGGCUAGCGUUAUCCGGAUUUACUGGGCGUAAAGGGUGCGUAGGUGGUCUUUUAAGUCAGGGGUGAAAUCCCGGGGCUCAACCCCGGAACUGCCUUUGAUACUGGAAGUCUUGAGUAUGGUAGAGGUGAGUGGAAUUCCGAGUGUAGAGGUGAAAUUCGUAGAUAUUCGGAGGAACACCAGUGGCGAAGGCGGCUCACUGGACCAUUACUGACGCUGAGGUGCGAAAGCGUGGGGAGCAAACAGG